GACCUCGGAUCAGGCGGGGCUACCCGCUGAACUUAAGCAUAUCAAUAAGCGGAGGAAAAGAAACCAACAGGGAUUGCCCUAGUAACGGCGAGUGAAGCGGCAACAGCUCAAAUUUGAAAUCUGGCUCUUUUAGAGUCCGAGUUGUAAUUUGCAGAGGGCGCUUUGGCUUUGGCAGCGGUCCAAGUUCCUUGGAACAGGACGUCACAGAGGGUGAGAAUCCCGUACGUGGUCGCUGGCUAUUGCCGUGUAAAGCCCCUUCGACGAGUCGAGUUGUUUGGGAAUGCAGCUCUAAAUGGGAGGUAAAUUUCUUCUAAAGCUAAAUAUUGGCCAGAGACCGAUAGCGCACAAGUAGAGUGAUCGAAAGAUGAAAAGCACUUUGGAAAGAGAGUCAAACAGCACGUGAAAUUGUUGAAAGGGAAGCGCUUGCAGCCAGACUUGC
Molecule: ribosomal RNA, 439 nt
Filed under: Ochromonas sp. CCMP1393
Lineage: Eukaryota; Chrysophyceae; Chromulinales; Chromulinaceae
Description: partial Eukaryotic large subunit ribosomal RNA
Rfam family: Eukaryotic large subunit ribosomal RNA
Source: RNAcentral